Molecule: transfer RNA, 74 nt
Filed under: Anguilla anguilla (European eel)
Lineage: Eukaryota; Metazoa; Chordata; Actinopteri; Anguilliformes; Anguillidae
Description: tRNA-OTHER
Source: RNAcentral
GGCACAGUGGUGCAGUGGGUAGCACUGUCGCCUCACAGCACGAAGAUCGUGGGUUCGAAUCUCGACCUGGGGCC